Molecule: RNA transcript, 2983 nt
Organism: Tarenaya hassleriana
Lineage: Eukaryota; Viridiplantae; Streptophyta; Magnoliopsida; Brassicales; Cleomaceae
Exons: 8
Source: RefSeq, a predicted model, not a curated record
CACUUUUGCGUCCAUAGACGCUUGGCACUGUUGCAUCUCUCUCUCUCUCUCUCUCUCUCUCUCUCUCUCUCUCUCUCUCUUUCUGAAGUUGCUUCAUGGCAGCGUUUUUGAGUUCUUAAUCAAGGAGGAGAAGCCGAUUCAUCGAUGGAGGAUGGUUCAUUCGGGAAGAGAUGGAUGAAGAAGAUGAGAGUAAAGAGAUAGGCCGCUUGCCCAGUUGUUCUGACCCUUCAGCGCGGCCAAACCCAGACGAUGUUGAAACCAAUGUAGGUGCAGGUGCAAAUGCAGGUUCAUCGAGUGGAAAAACAAAGUUUGCAUCUAUGGAUCCUUUAUCGGAGUUAGUUUGGUCUCCACAGAACGGUCUGAGCUUAAGAUGCGCCGAUUGCAGCUUCACCCGAAAGAGAAAAUUGCUCUCUCCUGCCUCCUUUGGUAAUGGACCGAGCAACAUGGUAAUUCCUCAAAGAAGCAGAAGUAAUGAUGAGGCGGGGUUUCGUGUGAAUUUUCAGUUAAGAACCCGGGAUACCUUGGAUAGAAUGGAAGCUCGGGUGAACCAAGAUUCUUGGCCAAGUAAUGAAAUGGAUAGGCCUUCCUCAGGAACUGGUGGCUGUAUGGAGGACAUGAACACUGUCGUGUCUUUACCGGAUCAGCAGAUAGUUGAGAAGGAGGAUAUGUUAGAGUGCAAGAUGGAGAACAAAGAUGAAGUAGACAGCAAACAAGAAGUGACAGAUAAUCCAAUGGCGAUUGGAGGAAAGACUGAGACGCUGGUGAGUGAAACGUUGAGGGUGGGAGAUGCUUUAAACCGGGAUCGUGGUAUCAUGAGUAGAAUUGCAUCUCGUGAAGAGGAAGCGGGCAGAGAUAAGUUGAAAAGCGGUGACUGCUUGAACGUUUGUAAUAUCGAAAUUAUAGAAUCAACGGCUGAGAACGAUCUGCCUACGCUUGCUGGCCCACUUGAUAAGACUCUACAACGGGAUGAGUGUUGUCAAGACAAAGGGGUCCAAUUGCCAGAUGGGACAGAUGCUGGAAAGGCCACUCUCUUGAGGCGUCCACUGACUGAGAGCGGUUCCCGCAAAUAUCAAGCAAAGGGAAAAGGAAAAGAGAAAGAGAAAGCUCUCUCUGAUGUAAACAUUGAUGGAAGAACUCAGAAAGAUAUAGAUGAUGAUGGUGAUGAUGAUGCUGAGAGUUUUGGGAGCGUGGAAAGUUGUAACAGUGCCGGUUUGGUAACGAGGGGCAAGAGAAGAGCAAACUUCGAGGGGCAGAUGAUUGUGGGGAGCAAAAGGCUCAAAAUGCAAAUUCAAGAAUGUCAGGGGUCAACUUCGAAACUCAGGCAAGAUAGUUCCUUCAUGAACUGGAUAUCCAACAUGAUGAAGGGAUUCUGGAAAGCAAAUGAAGAAAAAGAAGAGGACCACUCUCCUGCCGGAGCUCUCACUGUCACAGAGACAGAUGAUCAUGUUAACAGGAACGAUGAUCAACAACACUAUACCGGUUUCCAAUCCUUUUUCCAGUCCAUAUAUUGCCCAAGGAGAAACAUUCAAGAUGCUUGUGUGAAUCUCUUGGAUGAGGAAUGUGAUACUGAUGCUGCCCCUUUAAGCUGCCGUGGGAAGUUGCUUCCAAACUUCCAGGAACAAGUUCUCGUUACCAAUGGGAAUCAUGUGUCAGUGUCUUCCGAGAACAAAAACUCAUGCAACCACGAGAGCUAUUCAGACAAAGACAGGAAAAGCUCUCCUCCCUCGGGUAACAAGUCUAAGCCGAACCGAGAUAAAACAUCAGACCCUGAACCUGAUGGAAAAGAAAUUCAAACUUUCGCCAAUAGGAACAGUGCUCUAAGAAGUUUAUGGAUAAGCAGGUUUUCUUCAAGAAACUCUUGUCUGCAAAGCAACGGACAUCAUGAUGGAAUUUCUUCAAUCAAUAUCAGAGUCCAGGAGGCAAAUGAAUCGGUUUCAGUUAUGGUUAAAACCCGUGAUUCCCAGGAAAUAACAAAGGAGGAUUGUGCCCGGGGCUAUGGUAACUCAAACUUGAUGCAGAAUAACCUGAAUCUCGUAGUUGCUUCCCCGAGAAUAGAAUCAUCGGAAGCAUUGGCUUCUCUGUUUGCAAGAAGACUGGGUGUGAUCAAACACAUCGUCCCAUUGGAUUUGGCCGGGAAAGUGGAGGGAUCGGUGGUGACCCUAACCUGUUUCUACUGCGGGAAAAAGGGUCAUCAUCUACGGGAUUGCUCAGAGGUAACCGAUAACGAGCUCAGAGAUCUACUUAUCCGAAACAUUAAUGCUCAGAACGGAAGAGAGAAGGCUUCUGGUGUAUGCAUUAGAUGUUUUCAGCUCAACCACUGGGCUGCCACAUGCCCGAAUGCUCCAUGGCGCAACUCAAGAGCCGAAGGAAACAAAAGUAGACAUCUCGAGGGGACAAUAGCCGGAAUGAUGGCUUCUACUUCCGGUCCGAAAUUCUCUGUUCAAGAUUCCGGUGACAAUCAAGCCAUAGAUGUACCAGAGGCAGUCUUUGACGCUGUCCGAGUUCUCCGCUUGUCCAGAACAGAUAUUCUCAAGUGGAUGAAUUCAAAGGUGUCUGGAUCGGAUCUUGAAGGGUUUUUCUUGCGGUUGAGGCUCGGGAAGUGGGAAGAAGGACUCGGAGGAACAGGGUACUACGUCGCCUGCAUAACCGGUAAUUACAGGGACAGUGGAAGAACAAAGUUCAGCAAGAAGGUCGGAGAACUCGAUCUCGGUUAAGGUCGGAAGGACGACUUGUUUGGUCGAGUCUCAGUAUAUCUCCAACCACGAUUUUCUUGAGGAGGAGCUGACGGCGUGGUGGCGGGCCACCGCUAAAAAUGGCGGCAGCGUUCCGUCGGAAGAGGAACUUCGUCGGAAAAUUCGACAGAGAAAAAUGUUAGGCUUCUAGCUUCUUAUUUAUUAGCAAGUUGUGUAUUAUUUGAUUAUAAAAAAAAAAGUUGUGUAUUAUAUAUUCAAAUUUAAUGAAGGCAAUUUAAAUUAAAAAUUUA